CGCCUAUUAUAACUUCAAUAGGUAGCCUCUGCCCAAUGAGAAGUUAAAUGGCCGCAGUAUACUGACUGUGCUAAGGUAGCAUAAUAAUUUGCCCUUUAAUUGGGGGCUGGAAUGAAUGAAUUGACGAAGGGAAAGCUGUCUCAUCAGAGUUUAUAGAACUUUAUAUCUGAGUAAAAAAGCUCAGAUGCUGCAGGGGGACGAUAAGACCCUAAAAGCUUAACCUCUAUAAUUCAAUCUUAAUUUAACAAUUUUGAAAGUAACAGGUUUUCACUGGGGCGGUGCCUCUUUCUAACAAGAGUUUUCUCAACACACUGAGUGAUUUUAUUUAACUUUAAUUAAAUACCUAAUUAAGUUACUUUAGGGAUAACAGCGUAAUUUUUUGCUAGAGCCCUUAUCGACCAAAAAGAUUGCGACCUCGAUGUUGAAUUGGGACCCCGCUUUAGUGCAGCAUUUAAGAGCGGAAGACUGUUCGUCUUUUAAACCCCC
This 486-nucleotide ribosomal RNA is filed under the name Ligia vitiensis. Its description in RNAcentral is "partial large subunit ribosomal RNA". It matches the Rfam family "Bacterial large subunit ribosomal RNA", at positions 1890 to 2597 of the family's 2925-position model. The record is from RNAcentral. Lineage: Eukaryota; Metazoa; Arthropoda; Malacostraca; Isopoda; Ligiidae.